GCUUGUUGGUGAGGUAAUGGCUCACCAAGGCGACGACGGGUAGCCGGCCUGAGAGGGUGACCGGCCACACUGGGACUGAGACACGGCCCAGACUCCUACGGGAGGCAGCAGUGGGGAAUAUUGCACAAUGGGCGAAAGCCUGAUGCAGCGACGCCGCGUGAGGGAUGACGGCCUUCGGGUUGUAAACCUCUUUCAGUAGGGAACAAGGCCAGUGUUUAGCUGGUUGAGGGUACUUGCAGAAGAAGCGCCGGCUAACUACGUGCCAGCAGCCGCGGUAAUACGUAGGGCGCAAGCGUUAUCCGGAAUUAUUGGGCGUAAAGAGCUCGUAGGCGGUUUGUCGCGUCUGCCGUGAAAGUCCGGGGCUCAACCCCGGAUCUGCGGUGGGUACGGGCAGACUAGAGUGAUGUAGGGGAGACUGGAAUUCCUGGUGUAGCGGUGAAAUGCGCAGAUAUCAGGAGGAACACCGAUGGCGAAGGCAGGUCUCUGGGCAUUAACUGACGCUGAGGAGCGAAAGCAUGGGGAGCGAACAGGAUUAGAUACCCUGGUAGUCCAUGCCGUAAACGUUGGGCACUAGGUGUGGGGGACAUUCCACGUUUUCCGCGCCGUAGCUAACGCAUUAAGUGCCCCGCCUGGGGAGUACGGCCGCAAGGCUAAAACUCAAAGGAAUUGACGGGGGCCCGCACAAGCGGCGGAGCAUGCGGAUUAAUUCGAUGCAACGCGAAGAACCUUACCAAGGCUUGACAUGAACUGGAAACACUUGGAAACAAGUGCCCCGCUUGCGGUCGGUUUACAGGUGGUGCAUGGUUGUCGUCAGCUCGUGUCGUGAGAUGUUGGGUUAAGUCCCGCAACGAGCGCAACCCUCGUUCUAUGUUGCCAGCACGUAGUGGUGGGGACUCAUAGGAGACUGCCGGGGUCAACUCGGAGGAAGGUGAGGACGACGUCAAAUCAUCAUGCCCCUUAUGUCUUGGGCUUCACGCAUGCUACAAUGGCCGGUACAAUGGGUUGCGAUACUGUGAGGUGGAGCUAAUC
This 1029-nucleotide ribosomal RNA is filed under the name Arthrobacter sp. RNAcentral describes it as "bacterial SSU rRNA". It matches the Rfam family "Bacterial small subunit ribosomal RNA", at positions 244 to 1273 of the family's 1533-position model. The record is from RNAcentral. Lineage: Bacteria; Bacillati; Actinomycetota; Actinomycetes; Micrococcales; Micrococcaceae.